This 114-nucleotide ribosomal RNA is filed under the name Acanthosepion pharaonis. The record is from RNAcentral. Lineage: Eukaryota; Metazoa; Mollusca; Cephalopoda; Sepiida; Sepiidae.
UUACGGUCAAAUCACGCUGAAACACCGGUUCUCGUACGAUCACCGAAGUUAAGCAGCGUAGAGCCAGGUCAGUACUUAGAUGGGGUACCGCUUGGGAACACCUGGUACUGUAAG